UGGGGAAUUUUGGACAAUGGGCGAAAGCCUGAUCCAGCCAUGCCGCGUGCAGGAUGAAGGCCUUCGGGUUGUAAACUGCUUUUGUACGGAACGAAAAGACUCUGGUUAAUACCUGGGGUCCAUGACGGUACCGUAAGAAUAAGCACCGGCUAACUACGUGCCAGCAGCCGCGGUAAUACGUAGGGUGCAAGCGUUAAUCGGAAUUACUGGGCGUAAAGCGUGCGCAGGCGGUUAUAUAAGACAGAUGUGAAAUCCCCGGGCUCAACCUGGGAACUGCAUUUGUGACUGUAUAGCUAGAGUACGGCAGAGGGGGAUGGAAUUCCGCGUGUAGCAGUGAAAUGCGUAGAUAUGCGGAGGAACACCGAUGGCGAAGGCAAUCCCCUGGGCCUGUACUGACGCUCAUGCACGAAAGCGUGGGGAGCAAACAGGAUUAGAUACCCUGGUAGUCCACGCCCUAAACGAUGUCAACUGGGUUGUUGGGGUCUUUCACUGACUCAGUAACGAAGCUAACGCGUGAAGUUGACCGCCUGGGGAGUA
This 537-nucleotide ribosomal RNA is filed under the name uncultured bacterium. RNAcentral's name for it is "partial 16S ribosomal RNA". It matches the Rfam family "Bacterial small subunit ribosomal RNA", at positions 355 to 882 of the family's 1533-position model. The record is from RNAcentral.